This 1092-nucleotide ribosomal RNA is filed under the name Levilactobacillus brevis. RNAcentral's name for it is "bacterial SSU rRNA". It matches the Rfam family "Bacterial small subunit ribosomal RNA", at positions 33 to 1086 of the family's 1533-position model. Lineage: Bacteria; Bacillati; Bacillota; Bacilli; Lactobacillales; Lactobacillaceae. The record is from RNAcentral.
AAUUGGGCCGUGCGCUGCUAUACAUGCGAGUCGACGAGCUUCCGUUGAAUGACGUGCUUGCACUGAUUUCAACAAUGAAGCGAGUGGCGAACUGGUGAGUAACACGUGGGAAAUCUGCCCAGAAGCAGGGGAUAACACUUGGAAACAGGUGCUAAUACCGUAUAACAACAAAAUCCGCAUGGAUUUUGUUUGAAAGGUGGCUUCGGCUAUCACUUCUGGAUGAUCCCGCGGCGUAUUAGUUAGUUGGUGAGGUAAAGGCCCACCAAGACGAUGAUACGUAGCCGACCUGAGAGGGUAAUCGGCCACAUUGGGACUGAGACACGGCCCAAACUCCUACGGGAGGCAGCAGUAGGGAAUCUUCCACAAUGGACGAAAGUCUGAUGGAGCAAUGCCGCGUGAGUGAAGAAGGGUUUCGGCUCGUAAAACUCUGUUGUUAAAGAAGAACACCUUUGAGAGUAACUGUUCAAGGGUUGACGGUAUUUAACCAGAAAGCCACGGCUAACUACGUGCCAGCAGCCGCGGUAAUACGUAGGUGGCAAGCGUUGUCCGGAUUUAUUGGGCGUAAAGCGAGCGCAGGCGGUUUUUUAAGUCUGAUGUGAAAGCCUUCGGCUUAACCGGAGAAGUGCAUCGGAAACUGGGAGACUUGAGUGCAGAAGAGGACAGUGGAACUCCAUGUGUAGCGGUGGAAUGCGUAGAUAUAUGGAAGAACACCAGUGGCGAAGGCGGCUGUCUAGUCUGUAACUGACGCUGAGGCUCGAAAGCAUGGGUAGCGAACAGGAUUAGAUACCCUGGUAGUCCAUGCCGUAAACGAUGAGUGCUAAGUGUUGGAGGGUUUCCGCCCUUCAGUGCUGCAGCUAACGCAUUAAGCACUCCGCCUGGGGAGUACGACCGCAAGGGUUGAAACUCAAGGAAUUGACGGGGGCCCGCACAAGCGGUGGAGCAUGUGGUUUAAUUCGAAGCUACGCGGAAGAACCUUACCAGGUCUUGACAUCUUCUGCAAUCUUAGAGAUAGACGUUCCCUUCGGGGACAGAAUGACAGGUGGUGCAUGAUUGUUCGUCAGCUCGGUGUCGUGGAGAUGUUUGGGUUAAGUC